GGGACUAUGGCUCAGUGGAAGAGUGUUUGCCUGGCAGUGAGAGAGCAUUUGCCUGGCAGGUUCAAUCUCUGGUACUUCCA
RNAcentral lists this transfer RNA (80 nucleotides) under Sphaerodactylus townsendi. Its description in RNAcentral is "tRNA-Ala". The record is from RNAcentral. Lineage: Eukaryota; Metazoa; Chordata; Lepidosauria; Squamata; Sphaerodactylidae.